Molecule: ribosomal RNA, 440 nt
Filed under: uncultured bacterium
Lineage: Bacteria
Description: partial 16S ribosomal RNA
Rfam family: Bacterial small subunit ribosomal RNA
Source: RNAcentral
CCUACGGGAGGCAGCAGUAGGGCAUAUUGCUCAAUGGGGGAAACCCUGAAGCAGCAACGCCGCGUGGAGGCUGAAGGUUUUCGGAUUGUAAACUCCUUUUGUUAGAGAAGAUAAUGACGGUAUCUAACGAAUAAGCACCGGCUAACUCCGUGCCAGCAGCCGCGGUAAUACGGAGGGUGCAAGCGUUAACCGGAAUCACUUGGCGUAAAGGGCGCGUAUGCGGGAUAGCAAGUGAGAUGUGAAAUCCUAUGGCUUAACCCUAGAACUGCAUUUGAAACUGUUAUUCUAGAGUAUGGGAGAGGUAAGUGGAAUUCUUGGUGGAGGGGUAAAAUCCGUAGAGAUUAAGAGGAAUACUCAUUGCGAAGGCGACCUGCUAGAACAUAACUGACGCUGAUGCGCGAAAGCGUGGGGAGCAAACAGGAUUGGAUACCCUUGUAGUC